RNAcentral lists this small RNA (28 nucleotides) under Bombyx mori (domestic silkworm). Its description in RNAcentral is "ovarian small RNA-3919". The record is from RNAcentral. Lineage: Eukaryota; Metazoa; Arthropoda; Insecta; Lepidoptera; Bombycidae.
UGUUUAUCAAAAGGUGGACGAUAUCGUC